CACUAGAAGAAAUGAUUUUUAGCAAUACCUGCCCAGUGCGACAUAUUACUGUAAACGGCCGCCCUAGCGUGAGGGUGCUAAGGUAGCGAAAUUCCUUGCCUUUUAAUUGUAGGCCUGCAUGAAUGGUUUAACGAGGGUUAAGCUGUCUCUAAGUUUAUAAGUUGAAAUUGUAUUAAAGGUGAAGAUACCUUUAUUUUGAAGUUAGACAAAAAGACCCCGUGCAACUUUGAAAAUUAGCUUUAUUAAAAGGUGAGAGAUUUUUAGGUGGGGCGCCUAGAGAGCUAGUUCUAACCUCUUUUACUGAGUUAUUAAAACUUUCAAGUCUUGACCCGGUUGUACCCGAUCAUAGGAGAAGUUACGCCGGGGAUAACAGGCUAAUCCUUUAGUAGAGCUCGUAUUGGCUAAAGGGAUUGGCACCUCGAUGUUGAAUCAGGGAUGAUACCUUUGAGGCGUAGAAGCUUCGAGAGUGGGUCUGUUCGACCUUUAAUACCCU
This 493-nucleotide ribosomal RNA is filed under the name Crassostrea sp. ARG. RNAcentral's name for it is "partial 16S ribosomal RNA". It matches the Rfam family "Bacterial large subunit ribosomal RNA", at positions 1832 to 2597 of the family's 2925-position model. RNAcentral also lists the same sequence under 1 other name. Lineage: Eukaryota; Metazoa; Mollusca; Bivalvia; Ostreida; Ostreidae. The record is from RNAcentral.